RNAcentral lists this ribosomal RNA (856 nucleotides) under Thermococcus sp. Tc85_2. Its description in RNAcentral is "bacterial SSU rRNA". It matches the Rfam family "Archaeal small subunit ribosomal RNA", at positions 24 to 875 of the family's 1478-position model. Lineage: Archaea; Methanobacteriati; Methanobacteriota; Thermococci; Thermococcales; Thermococcaceae. The record is from RNAcentral.
CCACUGCUAUGGGGGUCCGAUUAAGCCAUGCGAGUCAUGGGGCGCGCUCUGCGCGCACCGGCGGACGGCUCAGUAACACGUCGGUAACCUACCCUCGGGAGGGGGAUAACCCCGGGAAACUGGGGCUAAUCCCCCAUAGGCCUGAGGUACUGGAAGGUCCUCAGGCCGAAAGGGUCUUUGACCGCCCGAGGAUGGGCCGGCGGCCGAUUAGGUAGUUGGUGGGGUAACGGCCCACCAAGCCGAAGAUCGGUACGGGCCAUGAGAGUGGGAGCCCGGAGAUGGACACUGAGACACGGGUCCAGGCCCUACGGGGCGCAGCAGGCGCGAAACCUCCGCAAUGCGGGCAACCGCGACGGGGGGACCCCCAGUGCCGUGGCAUCGCCACGGCUUUUCCGGAGUGUAAAAAGCUCCGGGAAUAAGGGCUGGGCAAGGCCGGUGGCAGCCGCCGCGGUAAUACCGGCGGCCCGAGUGGUGGCCGCUAUUAUUGGGCCUAAAGCGUCCGUAGCCGGGCCCGUAAGUCCCUGGCGAAAUCCCACGGCUCAACCGUGGGGCUUGCUGGGGAUACUGCGGGCCUUGGGACCGGGAGAGGCCGGGGGUACCCCUGGGGUAGGGGUGAAAUCCUAUAAUCCCAGGGGGACCGCCAGUGGCGAAGGCGCCCGGCUGGAACGGGUCCGACGGUGAGGGACGAAGGCCAGGGGAGCGAACCGGAUUAGAUACCCGGGUAGUCCUGGCUGUAAAGGAUGCGGGCUAGGUGUCGGGUGAGCUUCGAGCUCGCCCGGUGCCGAAGGGAAGCCGUUAAGCCCGCCGCCUGGGGAGUACGGCCGCAAGGCUGAAACUUAAAGGAAUUGGCGGGGGA